GACGAACGCUGGCGGCGUGCUUAACACAUGCAAGUCGAGCGAUGAAGUUCCUUCGGGAACGGAUUAGCGGCGGACGGGUGAGUAACACGUGGGUAACCUGCCUCGUAGAGGGGAAUAGCCUUUCGAAAGGAAGAUUAAUGCCCCAUAAGAUUGUAGUACCGCAUGGUAUAGCAAUUAAAGGAGUAAUCCGCUAUGAGAUGGACCCGCAUCGCAUUAGCUAGUUGGUGAGGUAACGGCUCACCAAGGCGACGAUGCGUAGCCGACCUGAGAGGGUGAUCGGCCGCAUUGGGACCGAGACACGGCCCAGACUCCUGCGGGAGGCAGCAGUGGGGAAUAUUGCACAAUGGGGGAAGCCCUGCUGGAGCAACGCCGCGUGAGUGAUGACGGUCUUCGGAUUGUAAAACUCUGUCUUCAGGGACGAGACUGACGGGACCUGAGGAGGAAGCCACGGCUAACUACGUGCCAUCCGCCGCGGUAA
Molecule: ribosomal RNA, 478 nt
Filed under: uncultured bacterium
Lineage: Bacteria
Description: partial 16S ribosomal RNA
Rfam family: Bacterial small subunit ribosomal RNA
Source: RNAcentral